Molecule: transfer RNA, 75 nt
Filed under: bacterium
Lineage: Bacteria
Also listed under: 1 other name
Description: tRNA-Lys
Rfam family: tRNA
About the family: Transfer RNA (tRNA) molecules are approximately 80 nucleotides in length. Their secondary structure includes four short double-helical elements and three loops (D, anti-codon, and T loops).
Source: RNAcentral
GGGGACGUAGCUCAGUGGUAGAGCAUUCGGCUCUUAACCGAAGUGUCGAGGGUUCGAGCCCCUCCGUCCUCACCA